ACACCAGUUACUAAUAUAAGAGGUUCUAAUGAAGGAGUGCAAUUGAGGCACUCACAUGAAUCUUCUGAUACUACUGAUCAUGGUAAUGAAUUACCAAGUGGAACAAAAGGAAAUAAUAAUAAACCUUUUCUGGAUUCUUCAGUUAAGUCGUAUGUGGCACUUGAUAUCGUAGCACCUCCUUGCUUUGGUGGUAGCUGUGAAAUCUAGUAAAGGCAAGUAAAGACUUAUCAAGCCUGGUGUCAUCUAUUUUAUACAUGUACUUAAUAAUUAUAAAGAAUACUUAAUGUGAGUGAAUUACUUGUUAAAACAUGCUGAAAUCUCACUAGUAAUGUAUGCAUGUAAUGUUACUAGUAAUGUAGUAAUGUAAUCAUUAAAAAUGAUUUCAUGUUUUCUGCUAUGUAUUCUGCACUUUUGUGCAAAUGCUGCUGAUAGUUGACUUUUUAGUUUUUUUGUACUUAAUAUGCAUGUAGUUUUUAGAUAAAAAUUUCUUUGCUAUUUAAAA
This is a long non-coding RNA of Amphimedon queenslandica, 502 nucleotides long. RefSeq lists it as uncharacterized. The record is from RefSeq and is a predicted model, not a curated record. The transcript has 5 exons. Lineage: Eukaryota; Metazoa; Porifera; Demospongiae; Haplosclerida; Niphatidae.